AGUAAUGUAUGGGGAUCUGCCUGAUGGCGGGGGAUAACUACUGGAAGCGGUAGCUAAUACCGCAUAAUGUCUGCGGACCAAAGCGGGGGACCUCCGGGCCUCGCGCCAUCAGAUGAACCCAUAUGGGAUUAGCUUGUAGGUAAGGUAACGGCUUACCUAGGCGACGAUCCCUAGCUGGUCUGAGAGGAUGAUCAGCCACACUGGGACUGAGACACGGUCCAG
Molecule: ribosomal RNA, 222 nt
Filed under: uncultured bacterium
Lineage: Bacteria
Description: partial 16S ribosomal RNA
Rfam family: Bacterial small subunit ribosomal RNA
Source: RNAcentral